ACUCCUACGGGAGGCAGCAGUGGGGAAUAUUGGACAAUGGGCGAAAGCCUGAUCCAGCCAUGCCGCGUGUGUGAAGAAGGUCUUCGGAUUGUAAAGCACUUUAAGUUGGGAGGAAGGGCAGUAAAUUAAUACUUUGCUGUUUUGACGUUACCGACAGAAUAAGCACCGGCUAACUCUGUGCCAGCAGCCGCGGUAAUACAGA
Molecule: ribosomal RNA, 202 nt
Filed under: uncultured bacterium
Lineage: Bacteria
Description: 16S ribosomal RNA
Rfam family: Bacterial small subunit ribosomal RNA
Source: RNAcentral